GUGGAUGUCCCAUUAUAGGUAUUUGUUCGGUGCUGCUGUCGUCAUUGAGAGUACCGAGAACGAUGUCAGCCUCGAGCAUCAUGAUGUCGGCUUUAAAAGUAAAGAUUCAGGUAACAGUGUAUACGAAUUGAAAAGAAGAUCGUAGUCAAGUAGAAAAAUGUCAUGAACUUCACUUUUAAACGGACAUUCGGUUUCGAUGUACAAGCAGAAUCGAUGGAGAUUUUUAUUCACAAAAAUAGAAGCAAAAGUGAGUUUCCUGUAUGGGUUAGUUCGAUACUGCUAAUAUUAUAUUGCAUUAGUCCAUUUAACCAUCCGGGGUUUCUGACAUAACCCCAAGCUACGAUUCAAAGACCUAAUUACUAAUCAGAUAUAAAUCUUCCUUUGAGAAUGUGGAAAGCAAUGAAGUGGAUUACAAUUAUAUAUAUAACACAGUCA
This is a long non-coding RNA of Cephus cinctus (wheat stem sawfly), 435 nucleotides long. RefSeq lists it as uncharacterized. The transcript is spliced from 2 exons. The record is from RefSeq and is a predicted model, not a curated record. Lineage: Eukaryota; Metazoa; Arthropoda; Insecta; Hymenoptera; Cephidae.